This 492-nucleotide ribosomal RNA is filed under the name uncultured bacterium. RNAcentral's name for it is "partial 16S ribosomal RNA". It matches the Rfam family "Bacterial small subunit ribosomal RNA", at positions 29 to 507 of the family's 1533-position model. The record is from RNAcentral.
AGUGAACGCUGGCGGUAGGCCUAACACAUGCAAGUCGAACGGCAGCACAGUAAGAGCCUGCUCUUACGGGUGGCGAGUGGCGGACGGGUGAGGAAUACAUCGGAAUCUACUUUUUCGUGGGGGAUAACGUAGGGAAACUUACGCUAAUACCGCAUACGACCUACGGGUGAAAGCAGGGGAUCUUCGGACCUUGCGCGAUUGAAUGAGCCGAUGUCGGAUUAGCUAGUUGGCGGGGUAAAGGCCCACCAAGGCGACGAUCCGUAGCUGGUCUGAGAGGAUGAUCAGCCACACUGGAACUGAGACACGGUCCAGACUCCUACGGGAGGCAGCAGUGGGGAAUAUUGGACAAUGGGCGCAAGCCUGAUCCAGCCAUACCGCGUGGGUGAAGAGGGCCUUCGGGUUGUAAAGCCCUUUUGUUGGGAAAGAAAAGCAGCAGGUUAAUACCCCGCUGUUCUGACGGUACCCAAAGAAUAAGCACCGGCUAACUUCGUG